UGCGCGGCGCGAGAGCCAGUCAAGGGCGCCGGGGAAAGUGACCGUCAGACCUGCUGCUGUCGCCAUGUCCGGCCGCCCCGACCCCGCCCCUUGGAGGGGCGCGGCCAGGUGCAGGGAAAUCCCGCGCGGUGUGCAGUUCUCCCAGAGGAGGGACCGGCGCCCGGGCCUUUGGGCUCGGGCCAUGGCGGGGGCGAGGUCCCUGCGCUCUCCGUGCGGGGCGUGGGGGGCGACCCAGGCGGGGCCGCGAGGCGACGCCGACGCUCCUGGCUAACGAGACCUGCUGCGGCCUGAUCGGCCGCCCAGCCCUCCUGAGUCUCGCGGCGCCGAGGCGGACCCAGAGCGUCGGGAUCCCGAGAGUGAACUGGCCUCACCUGCUGAGAAACCGGGACAGCACCGAGAGCCACGCGCGCAGGUAGCCUGUUGCAGUCUGGAAGUGCGGCAGCGCUUCGAAAGAAACAUUAUGUUUGCCGGAAACUGAAAUCUGGAUCUCUUCUAUCGUCUCCUGGAUGUCGGGUUUUCCUGUGGAGAUUGGUAUUGACGUUUAUUUCCCCUUGAAAGCAGGACUUCUUCCUGUCCUGUCGUCCCAGCAAGAGUGCCAGACCAGCCCCCAGGCUACAGACCCACAGAGGCAGCCGCUUCUCAAACCUCCAAAACUUGCAGCCCAAUAUUUUGCCCAUUUAAAGAUUUUUUUAGCUGGCCAAGGUGGCACAUGCCUGUAAUCCCAGCGCUCAAGAGGCUGAGGCAAGAGGAUCCUCACAAGUUCAGGGCCAUCCUGGGCUCCCUGAUGAGUUCAAGGCCUGUGCUCAACUUCUGGGCUCCCUUGGUCUUUCCCUCCCUUUGCUGCAAGAUGGACACUCCCAGCGCUGUAGACUGGACUGGUCGUAGAGUCACUACACAGCCAUGCAGUGAGCCAUCUCCUCACCAUCGUCCUGGGAAGCCCUCGGUGUCCCUCUGCAGCCAGUCCCUUCCCUCAGCCACUGGUCUUUGACAGCCAUUGACCCACUACUAUUGUAGCCUUUGCCUUUUCUGGAAUUCCAUGUGAAGGAAGAAACGGUACAGCAUGGGGUGUGUUUCUUUGGCUUCUACCCCUCAGCAUAAUGCUUUAGAGAUUCAGCUACGUUGUUUUAUCAGAAGUUUGUUUCCUUUUGCUGUAGAGUACUCCCUGAUAUGAAUGUACUCAUAUUUGUCCAUUUGAUGUUUGUUUCCAUUUGGGCUGCUGUGAAUAUUUGUGCGGAAGUCUUCCGGGUAGUCCUGCAGAAGAUGGAUUGCCAGGUUGUAUGGAAAAGAAGAAGAGCUUGAUGGAAUUUGGGUUGGGAAUGCAUCGGCUCUUUAGAUUACCUGGGGAAGAAUUGAUGUCCCAACAAUACGGAGUCUUCCCAGUCCAUGGGCAUGGUACAGUAUAUCUCCCCACUGAUUCUCUUGCCAUUUAAUUUCUCUCAAUUUUCUUUUAGCUUUCACUGUGCAAGUCUUACAAAUAUUUUGUUAAACUUACCCUAGGUAUUUUUUCUGAUUCUAACAGUGGAAAAUAUUUUAAAAUUUCAAAUGCAGUUGUUUUUAUAUCAGACUUUGUGCCCUGCAAUUUUGCUAAACUUCUUAGUUCUAAUAGCUUAUUAUUACGGAUUCUUUAGAAGGUUUUACAUCCACAGUCAUGUAGUCUGCAAAUAAAGACAGCCGUACUUCUUCCUGA
Chinchilla lanigera (long-tailed chinchilla) is the source of this 1687-nucleotide long non-coding RNA. RefSeq lists it as uncharacterized. The transcript is spliced from 4 exons. NCBI's taxonomy places the organism in Eukaryota, Metazoa, Chordata, Mammalia, Rodentia, Chinchillidae. The record is from RefSeq and is a predicted model, not a curated record.